AAUAGAUACCCGGGUAGUCCACGCCGUAAACGAUGAGUGCUAAGUGUUAGAGGGUUUCCGCCCUUUAGUGCUGCAGCUAACGCAUUAAGCACUCCGCCUGGGGAGUACGGUCGCAAGACUGAAACUCAAAGGAAUUGACGGGGGCCCGCACAAGCGGUGGAGCAUGUGGUUUAAUUCGAAGCAACGCGAAGAACCUUACCAGGUCUUGACAUCCUCUGACAACUCUAGAGAUAGAGCGUUCCCCCUUCGGGGGACAGAGUGACAGGUGGUGCAUGGUUGUCGUCAGCUCGUGUCGUGAGAUGUUGGGUUAAGUCCCGCAACGAGCGCAACCCUUGAUCUUAGUUGCCAGCAUUUAGUUGGGCACUCUAAGGUGACUGCCGGUGACAAACCGGAGGAAGGUGGGGAUGACGUCAAAUCAUCAUGCCCCUUAUGACCUGGGCUACACACGUGCUACAAUGGAUGGUACAAAGGGCUGCAAGACCGCGAGGUCAAGCCAAUCCCAUAAAACCAUUCUCAGUUCGGAUUGUAGG
This 530-nucleotide ribosomal RNA is filed under the name uncultured bacterium. Its description in RNAcentral is "bacterial SSU rRNA". It matches the Rfam family "Bacterial small subunit ribosomal RNA", at positions 777 to 1304 of the family's 1533-position model. The record is from RNAcentral.